CCUACGGGAGGCAGCAGUAGGGAAUCUUUCACAAUGGGCGAAAGCCUGAUGGAGCAACGCCGCGUGCAGGAUGAAGGCCUUCGGGUUGUAAACUGCUUUUAUAAGCGAGGAAUCUGAUGGUAACUUAUGAAUAAGGAUCGGCUAACUACGUGCCAGCAGCCGCGGUCAUACGUAGGAUCCGAGCAUUAUCCGGAGUGACUGGGUGUAAAGAGUUGCGUAGGUGGCAUAAUAAGUAGCUAGUGAAAUCUGGUGGCUCAACCAUUCAGACUAUUAGCUAAACUGUUAAGCUCGAGACCGUUAGGGGUAACUGGAAUUUCUAGUGUAGGAGUGAAAUCCGUAGAUAUUAGAAGGAACACCAAUAGCGUAGGCAGGUUGCUGGGACGGUUCUGACACUAAGGCACGAAAGCGUAGGGAGCAAACGGGAUUAGAUACCCCUGUAGUC
Molecule: ribosomal RNA, 442 nt
Filed under: uncultured bacterium
Lineage: Bacteria
Description: partial 16S ribosomal RNA
Rfam family: Bacterial small subunit ribosomal RNA
Source: RNAcentral